CGGGUGAGUAAUGUCUGGGAAACUGCCCGAUGGAGGGGGAUAACUACUGGAAACGGUAGCUAAUACCGCAUAACGUCGCAAGACCAAAGAGGGGGACCUUCGGGCCUCUUGCCAUCGGAUGUGCCCAGAUGGGAUCAGCUAGUAGGUGGGGUAAUGGCUCACCUAGGCGACGAUCCCUAGCUGGUCUGAGAGGAUGACCAGCCACACUGGAACUGAGACACGGUCCAG
This 228-nucleotide ribosomal RNA is filed under the name uncultured bacterium. RNAcentral's name for it is "partial 16S ribosomal RNA". It matches the Rfam family "Bacterial small subunit ribosomal RNA", at positions 103 to 334 of the family's 1533-position model. The record is from RNAcentral.